This 73-nucleotide transfer RNA is filed under the name Camelus bactrianus (Bactrian camel). It matches the Rfam family "tRNA". From Rfam's summary of the family: Transfer RNA (tRNA) molecules are approximately 80 nucleotides in length. Their secondary structure includes four short double-helical elements and three loops (D, anti-codon, and T loops). Further hydrogen bonds mediate the characteristic L-shaped molecular structure. tRNAs have two regions of fundamental functional importance: the anti-codon, which is responsible for specific mRNA codon recognition, and the 3' end, to which the tRNAs corresponding amino acid is attached (by aminoacyl-tRNA synthetases). tRNAs cope with the degeneracy of the genetic code in two manners: having more than one tRNA (with a specific anti-codon) for a particular amino acid; and 'wobble' base-pairing, i.e. permitting non-standard base-pairing at the 3rd anti-codon position. RNAcentral also lists the same sequence under 1 other name. The record is from Rfam by way of RNAcentral. Lineage: Eukaryota; Metazoa; Chordata; Mammalia; Artiodactyla; Camelidae.
GAGGGUAUAGUUCAGUGGUUAGAGUACAGGCUUAGCAUGCAUAAGGUCCUGGGUUCAAUCCCCAGCACCUCCA